GGGCCUAAUCCCCGGGCCCGGGAAUAUGACCCACCUUUGUGACAGAACAGAUUGUAGGGAUGCGAUUAGCUUUGAGACUGGGUGGGGCGGGAACAGUCCGAAUUAUCCAGGUGCGCCUAAUGUAAUCUAAAGGCUCUUAUGGAGAGGAGUUACAUUAUCAACUGACACUAAACUGGUGGCUUUGAAAAUGGAGAGGUGAAGUGGCUCAGUCGUGUCCGACUCUUUGCGACCCCGUGGACUGUAGCUUUCAAGGCUCCUCUGCCCGUGGAAUUUCCAGGCAAGAGUACUGGAGUGGGUUGCCAUUUGCUUCUCCAGGGGAUAUUCCCGACCCAAGGAUCGAACCCGAGUCUCCCGCAUUACGGGCAGACACUUUACCGUCUGAGCCACCAGGGAAGCCACCUGAAAGUGGAGAAACGGACCACAAAGCAAGGGCAGGUUGCUUUCAAGAGGUUCUCUCUAUACCUACUCGUGAAGAAACAAAAGGUCAUAAAAGGAUCCUCCGGCUCAGAGAAAGGAAAACCGAAAUACCAAAAAUCCUGCUUGUUGGAUCUUACCUCCCUAGAUCAAACCUGAGCCCUCAACAGUGAAAGCGCCAAGUUCUAACCACUGGACCGUCAGGGAGUUGCCUAGUGGUGCUUUCUUAAAUAACACAGAGCCCUUCACAAGAUACUGACACCCCCACUAGGUGGAAGACGUUAACGGCACUCUGACCACAAGUACAGAGACUCCAUACAGGUUGGAACCAGAAGGCUGAUGAUGUUGACUCCAAAUUACCUCAGCACCAACCAAUGAGAAUGAAAUCCAUGAGCUGAUCAAGUACCACACAACUCUCUCCCUCACCCUGUGGUUAACCCACAGGGAAGUCUGGGUCUUCUGAGAAUUAGUUGCCCGUAGUCCUUGCUUGACCUUGCAAUAAAUGCUGUACUUUCCUUCAGCACAA
Long non-coding RNA from Bubalus bubalis (water buffalo), 940 nucleotides. RefSeq lists it as uncharacterized. The transcript has 3 exons. Lineage: Eukaryota; Metazoa; Chordata; Mammalia; Artiodactyla; Bovidae. The record is from RefSeq and is a predicted model, not a curated record.